Molecule: ribosomal RNA, 393 nt
Filed under: uncultured bacterium
Lineage: Bacteria
Description: bacterial SSU rRNA
Rfam family: Bacterial small subunit ribosomal RNA
Source: RNAcentral
GCCACGGCUAACUACGUGCCAGCAGCCGCGGUAAUACGUAGGUGGCAAGCGUUAUCCGGAAUUAUUGGGCGUAAAGGGUGCGCAGGCGGCAAUUUAAGUCCGUGGUAAAAGACUGAAGCUCAACUUCAGGUGGCCAUGGAAACUGGGUUGCUAGAGUGCAGGAGAGGGUAGUGGAAUUCCAUGUGUAGCGGUAAAAUGCGUAGAUAUAUGGAGGAACACCAGUGGCGAAAGCGGCUACCUGGCCUGUAACUGACGCUCAUGCACGAAAGCGUGGGGAGCAAAUAGGAUUAGAUACCCUAGUAGUCCACGCCGUAAACGAUGAGAACUAAGUGUUGGGGAAACUCAGUGCUGCCGUUAACGCAAUAAGUUCUCCGCCUGGGGAGUAUGCACGCA